AGAUGUUUAUAUAGUUUGGCUGUGUCCCCAACCAAAUCUCAUCUUGAAUUGUAGUUCCCAUAAUCUCCACAUGUUGUGAGAGGGACCUGGUGGGAGGUAAUUAAAGCACGGGGGCGGUUACCUCCAUGCUGUUCUUGUGAUAGUGAGUGAGUUCUCAUGAGAUCUGAUGGUUCUGUGGGGGGCUUUUUCCCCUCUUUGCUCUACACUUCUUCUUGCUGCCACCAUGUGAUGAAGGACAUGUUUGCUUCCCCUUCCACCAUGAUUGUAAGUUUCCUGAGGCCUCCCCAGCCAUGCUGAACUGUGAGUUAAUUAAACCUCUUUCCUUUAUAAAUUACUCACUCUUGGGUAUGUCUUUAUUAGCAGCCUGAGAACAGAAUAAUGCACAUAUGCAUGUAUUAUAUAGGUCAAAAACAUAUGCAUAUAUAUAUAUAAUAUAUGCUUCUAUGUUAUAUAAUUAUAUCACUGCAUAUCAUUUUACAUUGUUGGAGAAUAGUUUUAUAUACUAGAAAAUAUCUUACAUAAUUGGUAUCUUUUUAAUGCUUAUACAAUUUAUGAAAUGUGUUUAUUAUGAUUUUCACUUUAACAAUGAGGAAAAUAAAAUUAAGAGAUGUUAAGCAACUUCUAGAUUACACAGUGCAUGUUAGAACAAGGUCUCAGUGAGUCAUAAACGUCAUGUUGUUUGUAUUAUAAUAUAUUGCCUCCCUAUAUAUAUGAAUGGAAAUGAGGGUAUAAUUUGCAUGGAUUAAAUGUCUGUGUAUUUCAAAAUGUAGCCUGAAAUUAUACUUCAAAACACACUGUAAAAGACUGGUUUAUUUGGGCUAAAAUUUGUGAAUCUAGGAUUCCACAGUUAAAAUGCAAAUAUUGUUAAAAUGCUAACAUGGUUAUCUUUGACUAUCAAAUCUUCCAGCUCACAGUAAUUUACCAGAUCAAUAUCUAACAGUGGCAAUAAAGAGGGAGGAAGUUAAAUGGAAAACUCCGGAGUACUGACCCUACCUGGAAUAGGAAGCUCAGAAAGGACUGUCUGCAGGCAGGGCUGUGAUGGAAGGCCAUUAAUGGAUUUUUAUUUUCAAAAGAGGUAUCUUUGCAAAUCAAAGAGAGUCAGAGAAUGCAAAUGAAAAUUGCAGUAACUGAUUAUCCAGCAGAAUGCUUGCCUUAAAGGUGAGAGGCGGUUUUGGAAAUCAAUUACAUCAAAUUUCACCAUUCUUUACCUGGGCAAUAUUUUCAAAUGCAUUAAUUUCCAAUUUAGGUUAUUAAGUGUAUGACAAAUCUGAAUAUACAUUGCAUGUUUCCUCUCAUAUUUUAAAUUUUGUAUCCAAUUACACAAAGAGGCAGAUGCAGAAUACUUUUAUUUUAGGAUCAAUUAUACCAUAUUGAUAAAUGAAAAUGACAUUGCACCUUAU
RNAcentral lists this long non-coding RNA (1400 nucleotides) under Pan troglodytes (chimpanzee). RNAcentral's name for it is "lncRNA (ENSPTRG00000054515.1)". Lineage: Eukaryota; Metazoa; Chordata; Mammalia; Primates; Hominidae. The record is from RNAcentral.